RNAcentral lists this long non-coding RNA (435 nucleotides) under Monodelphis domestica (gray short-tailed opossum). RNAcentral describes it as "lncRNA (ENSMODG00000042635.1)". The record is from RNAcentral. Lineage: Eukaryota; Metazoa; Chordata; Mammalia; Didelphimorphia; Didelphidae.
AUAGAAUUUACUCCCCAGGUCUUUCUUACCCAGCAUCCCAUUUGCAUGCUCACAGUGAGUAGGAAUACUUCAUGCUUAGGUACAUAUGUAGGAUAAAGUUUUCGCAUGACCCUGCCUCUCUCUAUUCCCUUGAUCUUGGCUGCUGAAGCUGGUUUUGAGCCAGGUCUUCAAUCAUGUCCAGUGAUCUAAAUCCAAGAACACAGGGAUGCAUGAUCCUGGGAUAGGAUCCCCUUCAUAUAUCAUCUUGCAAAACAAAAGAUAAACAAAAACAAAAUAUAUUUUUCAAGAUAUCUGGCAAAAAAGGAGACAGAGAAGGAGGCAAUAAGGAUUUACAUAAGGCCUAUUAUUGAAGAUCCUGUGUUCAACUCUUUGGAAAAAUUAUUUCACUUGAUCAAAAACAUUCUUACCAGCUUUUGUUACAUAUAUUACAUCUCU